RNAcentral lists this transfer RNA (73 nucleotides) under mine drainage metagenome. RNAcentral describes it as "tRNA-Val". It matches the Rfam family "tRNA". Rfam says of the family: Transfer RNA (tRNA) molecules are approximately 80 nucleotides in length. Their secondary structure includes four short double-helical elements and three loops (D, anti-codon, and T loops). The record is from RNAcentral.
GGGCUAUUAGCUCAGCGGGAGAGCGCUCGCUUCACACGCGAGAGGUGGCUGGUUCGACACCAGCAUGGCCCAC